GGAUUACUCCUUUACGCUUUCGCGUUUGGUUGAUAAAGAUUCGCACCUCUAUCAAACCGGGUAAUCCCACCUCUUGGCAAGACCUGCUGUCAGAUCAAAUCUGAACUACUACAGCUUAUGAAACCUAUAUUAUCGCAGACGCCAUUAACCGUUUUACCGAUCGAAUCCAGGAAUAUGUCG
Molecule: small RNA, 180 nt
Filed under: Nitrosomonas europaea ATCC 19718
Lineage: Bacteria; Pseudomonadati; Pseudomonadota; Betaproteobacteria; Nitrosomonadales; Nitrosomonadaceae
Description: Proteobacterial sRNA psRNA2
Rfam family: Proteobacterial sRNA psRNA2
Source: Rfam by way of RNAcentral